GCAUUUUAGAAAGUGAUAUGGGAAAAAUAAAGCAGUGAAAGGGGAUAGGGUACUACAAUUUUAAAAGGGAAGGUGAGAAAACAUCUCACUGAGAAGAUGGCGUUUGAGAAAAGAACACCUUUGUUCAAAGCUAAAGUGAGCCAUACCAACACCUGGAGAAGAACACUCCAGCAAGAGUUUAUCCAACAUCUCUUAUAUAUCUCUGAGAUCCCAAUGUGUCUUGUUCCUGCUCUGUGUGGGCUCUGAUUGAUUUCACUUCUUUUAUUCUGCCCCAGGGCUUCCCAUUGAUAGUACUAUAGACUCGUGAGCACUUAAACCCACACAUGUGCAAGUUGGAAGGGCAUGGAAGUGCAAGUUGGAAGUUUAUCCACGUGGAUAAACUUCAACCAAUGCAAGAGAAGAUCAUCUGGAUGAGCUCUUCUUCCUUUGUGUUCCCCAGGAACACUCAAGGUUGCUCAAGAGUGUAUGCCAGUGAACUGAGCAGCUAACUGCAGUAACUGGAAGCAGGCUCAAUAACGUGUCCUUGCCCUGGUUCUUCCUCCUUCCCUGCAUCACUCUUCUUGCCCUUCUCACCUGUGCCCUGGGAUUGAACUCCCUGAAAACAUCACAUAAGCUCUAUGCCUCCAUUUCUGGGUAGCACAUGCUGAGGCACAAAUUGGAAAAGAAGUGCAAAAUCCUCAGAUGGAUAUGUGUUUGGCAUGCUAAAGAACAGCAAGAAGGCCACUGUAGUAAGAUCAAACAGAGCAAGGGGGAUGAUAUAAUAGAAUUUUGUCCAGAGGUAACGGAGGACCCAUCAUGUAGGGCCUUAUAGACCUUAACAGAACUUUGUCUUUGGUUCUAUUUGAGAUGAGAAGUUGUUGACAUCAUCUGCAUUAUGAUUUAACAGGAUGACUCUGGGCACUGUGUUAACAAGAGACUGAAGGGGACAAGAGUAGAAACGGAUAACCAGUUUGGAGUCUACUGUAGCAAUUCUGGUAACAGAUGAUGACGUCGGCCAGUAACAGCAGAAGUGAAAAUAUGUGGUAGAUUAUGGGUAUAUUGUGAGGGUAAAUCUAUUUGAACUUUUUUAUGGUGUGAGAAGGAAAGAAGAAGCAUGGACGACUCUAAGAAAACUUGAUUUGAUAUGAGCUAAAAGGGGGAAGAAAAGUAAAAAGCAGGUAAAGUUCAGAGACCCGCUCUAGAUGUGAUAAAUUAAAUGUACCCAUGAAACUCCAAGGGCAGAUGUCAAGAGAGCAGUUGCAUGUAUGUGUCUGGAUUUCACGAGAAAGAUCCAGAUUGAUAAUCAUUAAUGAGUUAUUAAGACUUAAAACCAAGAGAUUCAAUAAGAUUACCAAGGAAAUGAGUGCAACUAGAGAAAAGAAGAAGAUCAUUUACUGAGACGAGGAACACUCCAAUAUUAAAACGAGGGAGGUAGAGUGGAAUCAGUAAAGACUAAGGAAUGGUCAAUAAGGAGGAUGAAAACCAGUAGAGAGUGGUGUCUUGAAAGCCCAGUGAAAAAAGCACUUCAAAAAGAAAGGAAAUAUGUGAUUUAUCAGGUUGAAUGCUGCUGAAAGGACAAAUAAAAUGAGGAUUGAGAAUUUGACCUUUGGAUUUAGUAACUUGAAAUCAUUGUUGACAAGAGCAUCUUUACUAAAAUGAUAGAAACAAAGACACAAUUUGAGUGGGUUUAAAAGAGAAUGAGAAAGGAGGAACUAGAAGUGACUAUAUGCCAUAUUUUUUAGGGGUUUUGUGGUAGAGGAGAGCAAAGAAAUGGAGUGAUAGGCUACAGGGAAAAAUAGGGUAAAGAGAGGGUUUAUUUGAGAUUAUUAAAAUAAUAGCAUAUAAGUAGAUGAAUGAAAAUAAUUCAACUGGAGAAAAAAAUUGAUGAUGCAAGAGAGGAGCAUUUCUGGAGUAAUAUUCCUGAGAAUGUGAGAAGGCUGGAAUCUGAUAAACAAUUGAAGAGGCUGUCCUUACUAGGAACACGGACACCUCAUCUACAGCAAGAGGAAAAUACAGAUAUUUUGCCCUUUUGGAAACUGAAGAUAAAACAGAAAAAGAAAAGAAUUUUAAGAUAUGUUAAUCUAGCAAAACUAACAUAAGAAUGGCCACCGUGAAUUUCAUGAAAUUUUGCCACAGAGCAAUACUAAAAACUGAAUGAUUAUGCCUUUUUCCAUAUUUUAAUUAAAACUGAAAUGAAAAUACUCACUGUUGGAAAGUAAAGAAAUUAAGCCAUA
Molecule: long non-coding RNA, 2213 nt
Filed under: Homo sapiens (human)
Lineage: Eukaryota; Metazoa; Chordata; Mammalia; Primates; Hominidae
Description: HSALNT0326228
Source: RNAcentral